Molecule: transfer-messenger RNA, 416 nt
Filed under: Nitrospinaceae
Lineage: Bacteria; Pseudomonadati; Nitrospinota; Nitrospinia; Nitrospinales
Also listed under: 1 other name
Description: UBA8687 sp013349585 Standard tmRNA
Rfam family: transfer-messenger RNA
About the family: Bacterial tmRNA, also known as 10Sa RNA or SsrA, is named for its dual tRNA and mRNA-like properties. Its role is to liberate the mRNA from a stalled ribosome. To accomplish this part of the tmRNA is used as a reading frame that ends in a translation stop signal.
Source: RNAcentral
GGGGGCGCACUGGUUUCGACUUCGUUGGUCGGGAACUGAGAAGCGUGUAGAGGAUGAUUGUUGGCCUCUUAAAACAUCAAUCGAAAACACAACAGGCAACGAUAAUAACGACGCCAUCCUGCUCGCUGAAGCCGAGGAGAUCGCUAACGCGGUUUUCGCGACCGACGCAGUUGAAGUUUCCGCUCAGACUCCGGUCUUCGCGUAAGCUAGGAGGUGAAGGGAUUUCCGCAACCUUCAUUUCUUGAUAAUCACUAGGAUGCUGCAUAAGUCUGGUUCUCAGCUUAUGCCUAAGACUUCGAGGGCAAACACUCAACCACUGAGGUCACAUAUUUGGUUGAGAUCGGAUGUGAAUACGCACGUAGAAUGCAGUUGCUAGUCAACGAAACACGCGGGUUCGACUCCCGCCGCCUCCACCA